RNAcentral lists this ribosomal RNA (391 nucleotides) under Cladosporium lignicola. RNAcentral's name for it is "eukaryotic LSU rRNA". The stretch from base 28 to 181 matches the Rfam family "5.8S ribosomal RNA". Lineage: Eukaryota; Fungi; Ascomycota; Dothideomycetes; Cladosporiales; Cladosporiaceae. The record is from RNAcentral.
UCUGAGUAAAUUUAAUUAAUAAAUUAAAACUUUCAACAACGGAUCUCUUGGUUCUGGCAUCGAUGAAGAACGCAGCGAAAUGCGAUAAGUAAUGUGAAUUGCAGAAUUCAGUGAAUCAUCGAAUCUUUGAACGCACAUUGCGCCCCCUGGUAUUCCGGGGGGCAUGCCUGUUCGAGCGUCAUUUCACCACUCAAGCCUCGCUUGGUAUUGGGCGACGCGGUCCGCCGCGCGCCUCAAAUCGACCGGCUGGGUCUUCUGUCCCCUCAGCGUUGUGGAAACUAUUCGCUAAAGGGUGCCACGGGAGGCCACGCCGAAAAACAAACCCAUUUCUAAGGUUGACCUCGGAUCAGGUAGGGAUACCCGCUGAACUUAAGCAUAUCAAUAACGAGGG